This 585-nucleotide ribosomal RNA is filed under the name uncultured bacterium. Its description in RNAcentral is "partial 16S ribosomal RNA". It matches the Rfam family "Bacterial small subunit ribosomal RNA", at positions 355 to 1375 of the family's 1533-position model. The record is from RNAcentral.
UGGGGAAUUUUGGACAAUGGGCGAAAGCCUGAUCCAGCAAUGCCGCGUGUGUGAAGAAGGCCUUCGGGUUGUAAAGCACUUUUGUCCGGAAAGAAAUCCUUGGCUCUAAUACAGUCGGGGGAUGACGGUACCGGAAGAAUAAGCACCGGCUAACUACGUGCCAGCAGCCGCGGUAAUACGUAGGGUGCAAGCGUUAAUCGGAAUUACUGGGCGUAAAGCGUGCGCAGGCGGUUUGCUAAGACCGAUGUGAAAUCCCCGGGCUCAACCUGGGAACUGCAUUGGUGACUGGCAGGCUAGAGUAUGGCAGAGGGGGGUAGAAUUCCACGUGUAGCAGUGAAAUGCGUAGAGAUGUGGAGGAAUACCGAUGGCGAAGGCAGCCCCUGGGCCAAUACUGACGCUCAUGCACGAAAGCGUGGGGAGCAAACAGGAUUAGAUACCCUGGUAGUCCACGCCCUAAAACGAUGUCAACUAGUUGUUGGGGAUUCAUUUCCUUAGUAACGUAGCUAACGCGUGAAGUUGACCGCCUGGGGAGUACGGUCGCAAGAUUAAAACUCAAAGGAAUUGACGGGGUCAUAGCUGUUUCCU